Molecule: ribosomal RNA, 429 nt
Filed under: Bacteroidota bacterium
Lineage: Bacteria; Pseudomonadati; Bacteroidota
Description: Bacteroidetes bacterium partial 16S ribosomal RNA
Rfam family: Bacterial small subunit ribosomal RNA
Source: RNAcentral
UAGGGAAUCUUCCGCAAUGGACGCAAGUCUGACGGAGCAACGCCGCGUGAGUGAAGAAGGAUUUCGGUUCGUAAAACUCUGUUGUUAGAGAAGAACAGCGCAUAGAGUAACUGUUAUGCGUGUGACGGUAUCUAACCAGAAAGCCACGGCUAACUACGUGCCAGCAGCCGCGGUAAUACGUAGGUGGCAAGCGUUGUCCGGAUUUAUUGGGCGUAAAGCGAGCGUAGGCGGUCAAUUAAGUCUGAUGUGAAAGCCCCCGGCUCAACCGGGGAGGGUCAAUGGAAACUGUUUGACUUGAGUGCAGAAGAGGAGAGUGGAAUUCCAUGUGUAGCGGUGAAAUGCGUAGAUAUAUGGAGGAACACCAGUGGCGAAGGCGACUCUCUGGUCUGUAACUGACGCUGAGGUUCGAAAGCGUGGGUAGCAAACAGG